Long non-coding RNA from Solanum tuberosum (potato), 769 nucleotides. RefSeq lists it as uncharacterized. The transcript is spliced from 2 exons. NCBI's taxonomy places the organism in Eukaryota, Viridiplantae, Streptophyta, Magnoliopsida, Solanales, Solanaceae. The record is from RefSeq and is a predicted model, not a curated record.
AUGAAACGGAGGGAGUAUUUAUUGAAGUGGGACAGGCUUAGAUGCAUCUACAAUCCAACAAGUUGUUGCUUUAUCAACUGUAUCGAUCCAAUAAUUAAUGUUGUUCGGUGAAAGUUAGGUGAUAGAAAUUAAUAUCAAACCUUGUGAAAUUGUUUAUGUACACUAUUGAUCUAAAAAGUUUGUAUCAAAGAGAGAAAACUAAGAGGCGAAUUAGUCUUGAAUCGAAGAGUAAAGAGUGAUGGAAUUUGGAAGAGGUGAAUUGAAGGUAAGAGGUACAGCAGUAAUGGAGAAGAUGAAAUCAAUAGAAGAUAUUUUGAAGAUGUUGAUGGAUUCCCCAGUAGGAUUUAUCAUUUCAAUUGGGUUGAUUGUGAUUUUGUUGUCCUUAAUUUGUCGUUGCUGCUGCAGAGGAAAUAAUAAUAGGAGAAAUGUGGAGAUGAUGGGUCGUAGGAAAUAUUAUUGAAGUCAGUGAUCGUAUGAAAAAUUUAACAUCUUAUAUAUACUAGAGUUCAUUUAUAAUCUUUCAACAAAGGCGAUUCAAUUGUUCCACUGGCUCCCCCCCUGAUUAGAGGAAUGUACUAAUGAGUAUUGUGUUGGCUGCACCACCAUGCCCACAGUCUGUAAUUCCUUUCUUUUUGAAUUUGAAGUUAGGAGGGUAUUACACGAGUUUGUAAAUCGAAAUGAAAAUCGAACGUUUCCUAGUUAAAAAGUGUGGAAUUUCGUUUGAAUUAUCAUUUGUCAGGACUCUUUGGCAUAAAUUGCUUGAUUUGGA